Molecule: long non-coding RNA, 678 nt
Organism: Nerophis ophidion (straightnose pipefish)
Lineage: Eukaryota; Metazoa; Chordata; Actinopteri; Syngnathiformes; Syngnathidae
Exons: 2
Source: RefSeq, a predicted model, not a curated record
CCCACGGAGCAGAACGAGAGAGGGAGUUGUCCGAGGAUAGUUCUGUCGUUGCCCGCACUACACGUAAGGAGCCGAGCUAACUGAUAGCAGCGGUCUGCACGUCGGGAGCAACCCAUAGGACACACCUACCAACCAUGAACUGGACCAGCAAGAGGGUUGGAGCAAGGCCCCUCCCUCGGGGUGUUGUAGCGCUUCCACUCAUGGUAAGAGUUCCUCUUGGCCACCACAGCGUUCCCAGCGACAGCCACCUUCCAGCGAGAAGCUCCGUACAGCAUGUGUCCUCGACAGCGCCACCACAGCACGGGAUGGGAGGUGUCGCACUCGAACAUGGCGAGAGGUUGCACGGCGUCCGAUAUGUCAAGGCCCAAGCACGUGCUGCUGCCCGAGUUGAAAAGGCGAUGGUGUGAGACCCACUUCCACAACAUGCCGCGCGUGGGCCGCUGGCAGUCCCGCAGCACCAGGCUAGAACCUUCCACGGACACGCAGCGCUUUAGCCGGUCGCUCUCCAGGAUGAACAGACCCUUCUCUGGAGAGGAUAGGAGGAGGAGGGCAAGAAGACCAUAUUUUCACUAAAUGAAAUAUGUACAAUCUACACACUGCAAGUAUAUAUAUCAUUUAGUAACAGACACCUUCAUAACAAUAUGUAAUAUGUACAAUAUACACACUGCAAGAAUAUAU